RNAcentral lists this non-coding RNA (24 nucleotides) under Arabidopsis thaliana (thale cress). The record is from RNAcentral. Lineage: Eukaryota; Viridiplantae; Streptophyta; Magnoliopsida; Brassicales; Brassicaceae.
ACCAUUAACCUGGACCGAAAAAGA